GUUGUCAUCCAUCAGGUACAUAUGAAGGCUGCCAAGGAAAAAGAGGGUGUAAAGCUACUUCAAACAGUUGAGGUUGACCUGUUGUCAGAUGAUGAUUAUGUAGAUGCAAGGCAAAUAUGAUGACAAAAGGAACAAUAAAUGAGAUUGCAGAAGAAAUCUCCUCGAGGAACAUGGAAAAAUGCCUUUUCUACUCUCAAAGAUCUUUGUCAUAGCUUAUUUUUUUGAGAUAUUUACCCCUUUUUUUGCCUUGCAAAUGAAAGUUGAUAGAAGCUGCUUUCUUUCCAGGAGGAAGGGGAGGAGGCUUAUUUACAAACUUACAGCAGCAAUUAUGAAUAAGAUGCUAAUGAUAAUUACAAUGAAUACUUUGAAUCGGUGCAGCUUUCACCAGGAGAAGAGAAGCCAAAGUUCAAGGAAGAUUUACCAGCGAACUGCAAGGCAAUGCCAUGACGCAGCAAUAGAAUAUAGCUGGCAAGGGGUUAAAUGUACCUUCAUCUAUUUUGACGGAACCAAGCGAUUCUGGUGUUGUGAUGCUUGUGCAGGCUGGACCACAUGUGAAGCAGAACAUGCUCCAGAGGACUACGAUUCAGACAAGACCAAAGAGUGGGGAGAAUCCAGCAAGAGUACAAGACAGGGGUGGCAUCGAGUAAGGAAGAUGUGCACGAGAAUCUUUUUGUUUCGGUACUGGAUGGAAGGAGCCCCUUGUUGGCCCAUUUCGUGUCACUGCAAAAUUCACCAAUACCCGGCCCAGCAUUUUUCACGUGGCCUGUCCCGCUACCAUUUGGGCCAACUGCAUCUUUGCGA
This is a long non-coding RNA of Panicum hallii, 801 nucleotides long. RefSeq lists it as uncharacterized. Lineage: Eukaryota; Viridiplantae; Streptophyta; Magnoliopsida; Poales; Poaceae. The record is from RefSeq and is a predicted model, not a curated record. The transcript is spliced from 2 exons.